This 496-nucleotide ribosomal RNA is filed under the name uncultured bacterium. RNAcentral describes it as "partial 16S ribosomal RNA". It matches the Rfam family "Bacterial small subunit ribosomal RNA", at positions 28 to 506 of the family's 1533-position model. The record is from RNAcentral.
GACGAACGCUGGCGGCGUGCCUAAUACAUGCAAGUUGAGCGAUGAAGAUUGGUGCUUGCACCAAUUUGAAGAGCAGCGAACGGGUGAGUAACGCGUGGGGAAUCUGCCUUUGAGCGGGGGACAACAUUUGGAAACGAAUGCUAAUACCGCAUAAUAACUUUAAACAUAAGUUUUAAGUUUGAAAGAUGCAAUUGCAUCACUCAAAGAUGAUCCCGCGUUGUAUUAGCUAGUUGGUGAGGUAAAGGCUCACCAAGGCGAUGAUACAUAGCCGACCUGAGAGGGUGAUCGGCCACAUUGGGACUGAGACACGGCCCAAACUCCUACGGGAGGCAGCAGUAGGGAAUCUUCGGCAAUGGACGAAAGUCUGACCGAGCAACGCCGCGCGAGUGAAGAAGGUUUUCGGAUCGUAAAACUCUGUUGGUAGAGAAGAACGUUGGUGAGAGUGGAAAGCUCAUCAAGUGACGGUAACUACCCAGAAAGGGACGGCAAACUACGU